UACGUAGGGUGCAAGCGUUAAUCGGAAUUACUGGGCGUAAAGCGUGCGCAGGCGGUUAUGCAAGACAGAUGUGAAAUCCCCGGGCUCAACCUGGGAACUGCAUUUGUGACUGCAUAGCUAGAGUCCGUCAGAGGGGGGUGGAAUUCCACGUGUAGCAGUGAAAUGCGUAGAGAUGUGGAGGAACACCGAUGGCGAAGGCAGCCCCCUGGGAUGAGACUGACGCUCAUGUACGAAAGCGUGGGGAGCAAACAGG
RNAcentral lists this ribosomal RNA (253 nucleotides) under uncultured bacterium. Its description in RNAcentral is "partial 16S ribosomal RNA". It matches the Rfam family "Bacterial small subunit ribosomal RNA", at positions 524 to 776 of the family's 1533-position model. The record is from RNAcentral.